CUCUCCCCCGAGCCCCCUCACCCCUUUUAAGGUGAAGGCCCUACUCAAUUCCUAUCGGAAUUGCGGCCUUCCUCGGAGAAGAUAUAUAUUUAUAAACCUACCGGGGGGCACUUCCCCCGGACCCCCUUCUCGAAUCAGGUUCCCCUCCGUGGUCACCUUUCGGGUCCCACUCCGGCCCCGCUUCGCUCCUUUUUAUCCAAUCCAACAAUCAUAUUCUGCUGCUUAACACACCAAUUAUGAUUUUUCCUCCAUACCGGGGGGAUUCUCAGAAAGCUUCUUCCCCCCCUUAAGAAUCCCCCCGGGUGGUGAAUCAGAGCAGAGUCGAGCCCUCGCCCCCCCGGGGGGCGGGGGGAUUUCCUCACAUUUGAAGGAUUCAAAUGCUGUUAUGCUUAUCUGAAGGAUUUCAGAUAAGUUGAAAAAGCUUAUCUGAAAGCUUUCAGAUAAGACUCAAGGUUAUAUAUAUUUUUACAUGCUUAUCUGAACUCUUUCAUAUGAGAGUAUAAGAGUUCAGAUAAGAGUAUGGUAAAGGCCUUAUUCAAUUCCUAUCGGAAUUGCGGCCUUGGAAGUGUUAUAUUUUCUUUAAAGCCCGCAGGGUUGAUUAAAGGGUGUUUUAACGCUAGUUAGAUCUUUUUACACGUCCGGAGGCGAACUAUGUUCGUUUCUCAAGUUUUUUCUAGUAAAAUUUAUAAAUUCUAUGUGUUUAUAAAAUAUCGUAGGUGAUGUUCGAAAUCCCUGAUGUUAUGAUUCUCGUGUGAGUAUGUUACUUUCUCGGAACCUCCGACAUUUACUGAGGAACGAAGUGUUCAGACAAGGGUUUUCUUUACUUUGACUUGGUUAAGUUGGUUUCUAGUAAGCAGGUCUAUGGGCGUAAGGCGACGAGCCGAACGAGAAUAAAGUCCUCAUAUUCUGGAUAAAGCCGAACCCGAACCAACUUAACGAGUUAGUUUUCCCCGGCCCUGGGGUAGUUUGUUCACUAUUUGGAUGCGUGUUUCAAGUGCAACUUGAGCAACCAUGGCCCGAGCGGCUCGCCCGCCAAUGUGCAGUAAGAGGUUGGUCUCACCAUGGAUGGGUUAUUGGAAAACUUCCAACGAACGGAGGUGGCAGCUAUUUAACCCCGCAACCUCUUUAGAAAUGUUCCUAGUAAAUGGCCUGCGUUCCGCGGCUUCGCUAGCUCGUGCAAUAUGUCGGUACUAUUCCGUCGGGCAGUAGAGGUAACUGAAAGCGCGUGCAAUCAAGUUCUCAAGGUUGUUACUUUUUGUUGGGAACUCAUUUAGGACAAGACGGCGGACAUUGGUGCUGGUAAACGAGUGGCUCUCGAACUGCCGGUAUCGUCACGUGGGGAAGUCUCGGCGUCGAUCGAGCUCCUCAGCUCAGAAGAGAGAAGAGCUCAGGCAAGUAGUGUGGAGGACAACCCGGACAUGAAACCUGAAGUGACUGCGAAGGCGAAAGCGACGGUGGCUCCAUACCGGGGGGACAACUCCUGGGGAUUCUUUGGGGCGGGAAAGAGAAGAUUCCGAUGAGAAUUAUUAUUGGUGGUGAUUUCGCGAUAGGUUGGGAAACGGAUUGGAAAAAAGGAAAUAAAAAAAGAGCUAUUUUUUUGCGGCGGCGGAGGGGAGGGGUUCCCCCUCUCCCCCGAGCCCCCUCACCCCCUUUUAAGGUGAAGGCCUUACUCAAUUCCUAUCGGAAUUGCGGCCUUCCUCGGAGAAGAUAUAUAUUUAUAAACCUACCGGGGGGCACUUCCCCCGGACCCCCUUCUCGAAUCAGGUUCCCCUCCGUGGUCCCCUUUCGGGUCCCACUCCGGCCCCGCUUCGCUCCUUUUUAUCCAAUCCAACAAUCAUAUUCUGCUGCUUAACACACCAAUUAUGAUUUUUCCUCCAUACCGGGGGGAUUCUCAGAAAGCUUCUUCCCCCCCUUAAGAAUCCCCCCGGGUGGUGAAUCAGAGCAGAGUCGAGCCCUCGCCCCCCCGGGGGGCGGGGGGAUUUCCUCACAUUUGAAGGAUUCAAAUGCUGUUAUGCUUAUCUGAAGGAUUUCAGAUAAGUUGAAAAAGCUUAUCUGAAAGCUUUCAGAUAAGACUCAAGGUUAUAUAUAUUUUUACAUGCUUAUCUGAACUCUUUCAUAUGAGAGUAUAAGAGUUCAGAUAAGAGUAUGGUAAAGGCCUUAUUCAAUUCCUAUCGGAAUUGCGGCCUUGGAAGUGUUAUAUUUUCUUUAAAGCCCGCAGGGUUGAUUAAAGGGUGUUUUAACGCUAGUUAGAUCUUUUUACACGUCCGGAGGCGAACUAUGUUCGUUUCUCAAGUUUUUUCUAGUAAAAUUUAUAAAUUCUAUGUGUUUAUAAAAUAUCGUAGGUGAUGUUCGAAAUCCCUGAUGUUAUGAUUCUCGUGUGAGUAUGUUACUUUCUCGGAACCUCCGACAUUUACUGAGGAACGAAGUGUUCAGACAAGGGUUUUCUUUACUUUGACUUGGUUAAGUUGGUUUCUAGUAAGCAGGUCUAUGGGCGUAAGGCGACGAGCCGAACGAGAAUAAAGUCCUCAUAUUCUGGAUAAAGCCGAACCCGAACCAACUUAACGAGUUAGUUUUCCCCGGCCCUGGGGUAGUUUGUUCACUAUUUGGAUGCGUGUUUCAAGUGCAACUUGAGCAACCAUGGCCCGAGCGGCUCGCCCGCCAAUGUGCAGUAAGAGGUUGGUCUCACCAUGGAUGGGUUAUUGGAAAACUUCCAACGAACGGAGGUGGCAGCUAUUUAACCCCGCAACCUCUUUAGAAAUGUUCCUAGUAAAUGGCCUGCGUUCCGCGGCUUCGCUAGCUCGUGCAAUAUGUCGGUACUAUUCCGUCGGGCAGUAGAGGUAACUGAAAGCGCGUGCAAUCAAGUUCUCAAGGUUGUUACUUUUUGUUGGGAACUCAUUUAGGACAAGACGGCGGACAUUGGUGCUGGUAAACGAGUGGCUCUCGAACUGCCGGUAUCGUCACGUGGGGAAGUCUCGGCGUCGAUCGAGCUCCUCAGCUCAGAAGAGAGAAGAGCUCAGGCAAGUAGUGUGGAGGACAACCCGGACAUGAAACCUGAAGUGACUGCGAAGGCGAAAGCGACGGUGGCUCCAUACCGGGGGGACAACUCCUGGGGAUUCUUUGGGGCGGGAAAGAGAAGAUUCCGAUGAGAAUUAUUAUUGGUGGUGAUUUCGCGAUAGGUUGGGAAACGGAUUGGAAAAAAGGAAAUAAAAAAAGAGCUAUUUUUUUGCGGCGGCGGAGGGGAGGGGUUCCCCCUCUCCCCCGAGCCCCCUCACCCCCUUUUAAGGUGAAGGCCUUACUCAAUUCCUAUCGGAAUUGCGGCCUUCCUCGGAGAAGAUAUAUAUUUAUAAACCUACCGGGGGGCACUUCCCCCGGACCCCCUUCUCGAAUCAGGUUCCCCUCCGUGGUCCCCUUUCGGGUCCCACUCCGGCCCCGCUUCGCUCCUUUUUAUCCAAUCCAACAAUCAUAUUCUGCUGCUUAACACACCAAUUAUGAUUUUUCCUCCAUACCGGGGGGAUUCUCAGAAAGCUUCUUCCCCCCCUUAAGAAUCCCCCCGGGUGGUGAAUCAGAGCAGAGUCGAGCCCUCGCCCCCCCGGGGGGCGGGGGGAUUUCCUCACAUUUGAAGGAUUCAAAUGCUGUUAUGCUUAUCUGAAGGAUUUCAGAUAAGUUGAAAAAGCUUAUCUGAAAGCUUUCAGAUAAGACUCAAGGUUAUAUAUAUUUUUACAUGCUUAUCUGAACUCUUUCAUAUGAGAGUAUAAGAGUUCAGAUAAGAGUAUGGUAAAGGCCUUAUUCAAUUCCUAUCGGAAUUGCGGCCUUGGAAGUGUUAUAUUUUCUUUAAAGCCCGCAGGGUUGAUUAAAGGGUGUUUUAACGCUAGUUAGAUCUUUUUACACGUCCGGAGGCGAACUAUGUUCGUUUCUCAAGUUUUUUCUAGUAAAAUUUAUAAAUUCUAUGUGUUUAUAAAAUAUCGUAGGUGAUGUUCGAAAUCCCUGAUGUUAUGAUUCUCGUGUGAGUAUGUUACUUUCUCGGAACCUCCGACAUUUACUGAGGAACGAAGUGU
Molecule: long non-coding RNA, 4055 nt
Filed under: Citrus x clementina
Lineage: Eukaryota; Viridiplantae; Streptophyta; Magnoliopsida; Sapindales; Rutaceae
Description: Citrus clementina (C. clementina) long non-coding RNA (CCLE_LNC006193)
Source: RNAcentral